Homo sapiens (human) is the source of this 100-nucleotide unclassified non-coding RNA. It matches the Rfam family "Y RNA". From Rfam's summary of the family: Y RNAs are components of the Ro ribonucleoprotein particle (Ro RNP), in association with Ro60 and La proteins. The Y RNAs and Ro60 and La proteins are well conserved, but the function of the Ro RNP is not known. NCBI's taxonomy places the organism in Eukaryota, Metazoa, Chordata, Mammalia, Primates, Hominidae. The record is from Ensembl.
GGCUGGUGCGAAGAUAGUGAGUUAUUGCGAUUGUUUGGUUACAGAUCAAAUGCCUUGUUCUACUUUAUUCCCCCUUACUACUGCACUUGACUAGUCUAAA